RNAcentral lists this long non-coding RNA (449 nucleotides) under Carica papaya (papaya). Its description in RNAcentral is "long non-coding RNA (CPAP_LNC016087)". The record is from RNAcentral. Lineage: Eukaryota; Viridiplantae; Streptophyta; Magnoliopsida; Brassicales; Caricaceae.
UGGAUCCCCAGGGAUACUAAUAGGCUGGUAAAAGAGAAAAUCUGUUUUCUGAUGAUUGAAAUGUAAAGGUAUGAUAUAUGUUAUGUUAUAAAGUGUCUAUGAUUUCAUGAUAUUAUAAGGUUAUUGUUUUCAUAUGUUGUUUUCAUGGAUCUCACCGAGGUAAGUGGACAGUAAAGGUUUUUAUGUUAAUAAACGAGUUCGUUAUAAAUCAUGCUCCAUUGGUCAUUUUUGUUUUCUACCCACCUUUACUUCCGUGGCGGUGAGAUAGUGUGAUGUCUUUAUUGGGCUGGUGUAGCUCAUCUCUUAUUUAACCAUUUCAUAUCAGAAAGACGUUGUUCCCGAGCCCGUUCCGCAGGAAGACGGCGAAGGGGACGCCUAAAGACUGUAUAGUUAUAUUUAUAGUUUUUAUUUCGAGUAUCUCUUUUAGUUAGUUUGUUCCUUAAUGUUUA